GACUUUCGGGAUAGCAUUUGAAAUGUAAAUGAAGAAAAUUAUCUAAUAAAAAAUUGUUUAUAAAAAAAGAAAAGAAAAGAAAUGUAUUGCUAAGUAUUUAUUACCAUGUUCAAGAUUUGGUUUCUUACUAAAUAGAAAUUUAGGAAUCAAGAAGGGAACUCUGUAUGAGUACAGCAAUGCGGGACCUGGAGGGAUUGCAGACAGGAAUGCUCUUGCCAUAGAAGACCUCCGACAAUGUUUCUAUACCAGCUUCUAAAGCCUGGGUAUCGACAUUUACAAUGUAGAAUAUAAGGUGGCAGGCUUGAGGGGUCGUUGGCACAAGGAGUUCUGGCAGUGCAGAUGUGGGGUGAGAUAAGAAACAUCAGGCAGCUGGACUUCUGCUGUGAAGAUCGUAGUCAGCAGGUCCUAGGCAGUGACCCUAAAACCCCAGAAGUAAAGGAAGAUAUUUCUUGAAUUCACUUUUCUAUAAAAUCUUUCACAAUCAUUUUCUUAAGCAUAAAACAUAGAAAAUUCAUAUUUCAAGCUACAUUACUGUUUUUGUAUUGUUGUAAUUGCAUGUAAUGAGGAAUGAUGUUCUUAUUUAGCUUAUUCCAUAAAAUUUAGUCUACAUCUCCUUCUAUAAACUAUUCUAUAUAUGUUCAUCUAAUAGCAUACAUAAAGCUAUACAAAUUGCACAUUUUCCUUUGUCAAUAAAACCAAAAUCUUGUUUUGUAAUUACAAUAUUUAUGAAUUCAAUGAUAGCUAAACGUUUGUCACCAAAUAUCUAAUAAUUCCAAGCAAUCUGAAGUGGGCAUCCCUCCUUAUCUUAACCACGUUAAAGGACAAAAUGAUUCUCAUUGCAUUUUCAAAUUAUGUCGGUGUUGCAAUUCAAUUUUUAAGUAAAGUUAUAGGUGACAGAAGGUGGGCAGAAGAGCACAGUGUGAUCUGAGUUGUUGUCAGGAAAGGUCUCUUCCAGAACAGCUUUCUGCAUCUGUUAGAGGAGCAGAAUUAGGUACAAGUGAAAAUGAUGUAAACACUUUGGCAGUUGGCUAGAAUUUGAGACUUCCAGUGAAGAUGGAGAGUCCAAGGUAGGCUCAAAAGACUUGGGCGCAGAACUGAUGAGUGUGGAGGGCCACAGGCCAAAGGAGGGGGUGGAGUCUAGAAUUGUUCUGUGCUUCUCGCUUGCUUACUGUCUGCACAGUGGUGGUGUCCAGCAGAGGAGUGUCUCACAGACAGGCAGCAGCUCAGUGAGGGAGCUGAAACAUGUGUUUUCGUUUAGAAUUUAACUAGUACCACUAUUAAUAUAGUUAAACUAGUUUUCCAGAAGACUUGCUUUUAGCUGACUCCUUUGUCUCAGAAUCCUAUUAUUUGCAUAAGAGAAUAGUCUUACAACUCCCAGAUGUCCUUCUAGGUACUCUGUAUAACUCUACUUUUAUUUCUCUUCUUUUCUGUUUUAACUUUGUUGCCACACGUCAAAAUAACCAGAGUAAGCUUAAAACAUGCCCUUCUGGUGAGGAGUUGUGGUGCAGGCCUGCGGUCUUUGUAUUCUUUGUACUGGAGGGGGGGGGCAGAAGCAGUGGUGCCAUCCUGUAUUACAUAGUGACCUGCAGGACAGCCAAAAGAUUGUCAUUUUUUUCUCUUGAAGGAAACCAGGAAGGGCGGAUGCUCCUCUCUGAAAGGGAGGAGACAUCCUCCGUCAAAACCAUCAGUGUCUCUUCCCUUUCUAGGGAGCCCCUUGUGAUGCACUAUUACCACAGUGAUUAAUUUAAGAACAGGCUAAAGAAGAAGAGUGAUACAAAGGAAUAAACAUUCACUGAUAAUUUUCUAUGCUGCAUUGGGCUAUCAUUUUAUUCAUUUUGCCUUUUGCAAAAUCAAGAAAACAUAUUGUUUGGUCUUAAAUCGAAAGUUUUGGCAUAUUUGAGGUGUCUCAUCAGCUUCUUCAAAUUAAAUGAAAAUUCUAUGUUUAUAGUUUAUAUUAUUUUAAAUAUUUACUCAUUUUAAAUUGUGUUUUUGUAUUUGCAUGUGUGUAUGUGUGUGUGGGUGUGCUUGUGCGUGUGUGCAUGCAUGCAAACACAUGACUACAGUUACAUGGGAAGACCAGAGGUAUCAGCUUCCCUGAAUCUGAGUUUACCCUUACAGGCUCUUGUUGCACUGCCUGUUAUUGGUGCUGAGAAUUGAACUCAGGUUCUUUGUAAAAGCAGUGCACACUCUUAACUGAGGAGCCAGCUAUCUAGUGGGCACUUUCUACAUUCUAGUCUUCCCUCAUAUUUUCAUAGUUCUAGACCCUCCUCUUCCCAAUUGUUGUUUGUUUGUUUUACAUUUUGAUUGUUUGGCAUGAAGAAUGAUUUCUUGCUACGAAACCUUAAUGGUCUGGUGGAAACAGAAACAUUCUGAAAUGACCUAGAAUGGGAUGUUUGUAGAAGCAGAAAUUUCAUUUUAUUGAUUCCUUCAUAGCACCUGGCUCCUGAGAGAGUCAUGCAAAACUACAGUGGUCUCUAGAGGGUAGAUGCUGUGUGUGACCAAAACUUCUGUCACCUUGUUCUCAAGUCUAGGGACAUGUUUAGAUUUUUCUUCCCCCUACUCAUACAAGCC
Molecule: long non-coding RNA, 2571 nt
Filed under: Mus musculus (house mouse)
Lineage: Eukaryota; Metazoa; Chordata; Mammalia; Rodentia; Muridae
Description: long non-coding RNA chr12:36620972-36623543
Source: RNAcentral